GAUCAUGGCUCAGGAUGAACGCUAGCUACAGGCUUAACACAUGCAAGUCGAGGGGAAACGACAUCGAAAGCUUGCUUUUGAUGGGCGUCGACCGGCGCACGGGUGAGUAACGCGUAUCCAACCUGCCCACCACUUGGGGAUAACCUUGCGAAAGUAAGACUAAUACCCAAUGAUAUCUCUAGAAGACAUCUGAAAGGGAUUAAAGAUUUAUCGGUGAUGGAUGGGGAUGCGUCUGAUUAGCUUGUUGGCGGGGUAACGGCCCACCAAGGCGACGAUCAGUAGGGGUUCUGAGAGGAAGGUCCCCCACAUUGGAACUGAGACACGGUCCAAACUCCUACGGGAGGCAGCAGUGAGGAAUAUUGGUCAAUGGGCGAGAGCCUGAACCAGCCAAGUAGCGUGCAGGAUGACGGCCCUAUGGGUUGUAAACUGCUUUUAUAAGGGAAUAAAGUGAGAGUCGUGACUCUUUUUGCAUGUACCUUAUGAAUAAGGACCGGCUAAUUCCGUG
This 505-nucleotide ribosomal RNA is filed under the name uncultured bacterium. RNAcentral describes it as "bacterial SSU rRNA". It matches the Rfam family "Bacterial small subunit ribosomal RNA", at positions 15 to 507 of the family's 1533-position model. The record is from RNAcentral.